CAUCACUUGUCUUUUCAAAGUUGGCAUUCAACAGUUCUUGCACAGGUGUCGCCUAGACAGCUUCUCUGUAUGAAGUCUGCACUGAAGGAGUGGGGAAGACCUUGAGGACCUUCUGAUGGAGUUCAUCUUUCUGCAGCCCCGGAGACUGUAAUUCAGACACCGCCCCCAAAAGAAGUCUGGAAACUUUGAGUCUCGCCACGUGCAGGACAGAGGAGUCCAACACCAUUAUCACCCUCUAUGCACAGACUGCUGGCUGCCACACUAACAUAUCUAAGGCACGUGCUCAAGGGCUCAGAGGUUCCCAGUCACCCAGAAAAUAAACUUUUAA
This 328-nucleotide long non-coding RNA is filed under the name Pan troglodytes (chimpanzee). RNAcentral's name for it is "long non-coding RNA NONPTRT009740". Lineage: Eukaryota; Metazoa; Chordata; Mammalia; Primates; Hominidae. The record is from RNAcentral.